CCGCNAAUUCGCCCUUCGGGGCGCAGCAGGCGCGAAAACUUUGCAAUGCGGGAAACCGUGACAAGGGAACUCUGAGUGCCCGUUAAAUCGGGCUGUCCAUCGGUUUAAAUAACCGGUGAAGAAAGGGCCGGGCAAGACCGGUGCCAGCCGCCGCGGUAAUACCGGCGGCUCGAGUGGUGGCCACUAUUACUGGGCUUAAAGCGUUCGUAGCUGGUUUGUUAAGUCUCUGGGGAAAUCUUCCGGCUUAACCGGAAGGCGUCUCAGGGAUACUGGCAGACUAGGGACCGGGAGAGGUGAGAGGUACUCCAGGGGUAGGAGUGAAAUCCUGUAAUCCUUGGGGGACCACCUGUGGCGAAGGCGUCUCACCAGAACGGCUCCGACAGUGAGGGACGAAAGCUGGGGGAGCAAACCGGAUUAGAUACCCGGGUAGUCCCAGCUGUAAACGAUGCGCGUUAGGUGUAUCGGUGACCACGAGUCACCGAGGUGCCGAAGAGAAAUCGUGAAACGUGCCGCCUGGGAAGUACGGUCGCAAGGCUGAAACUUAAAGGAAUUGGCGGGGGAGCAC
RNAcentral lists this ribosomal RNA (565 nucleotides) under uncultured archaeon. Its description in RNAcentral is "bacterial SSU rRNA". It matches the Rfam family "Archaeal small subunit ribosomal RNA", at positions 310 to 879 of the family's 1478-position model. The record is from RNAcentral.